Pectinophora gossypiella (pink bollworm) is the source of this 132-nucleotide small nuclear RNA. RefSeq annotates it as U4atac minor spliceosomal RNA. Lineage: Eukaryota; Metazoa; Arthropoda; Insecta; Lepidoptera; Gelechiidae. The transcript has a single exon. The record is from RefSeq and is a predicted model, not a curated record.
GACUUCCUCGUCUCGGGGAGCAUAGUGCGCUGUGAUCGUAAAGUGAGAGCACUGAUGCUGACACCCCAAGUUAUCUUGAAUAACCACCGCGCCCGGCUGCCGUAAGGGAGUCCGAGCGCAAUUUUUGAAAAG